Molecule: ribosomal RNA, 507 nt
Filed under: uncultured bacterium
Lineage: Bacteria
Description: bacterial SSU rRNA
Rfam family: Bacterial small subunit ribosomal RNA
Source: RNAcentral
GACGAACGCUGGCGGCGUAGAUUAGGCAUGCAAGUCGAACGGUAUCAUCCUUUCGGGGGUGAGAGAGUGGCGAACUGGUGAGUAACACGUAGGUUAUCUACCCUCAAGACGGGGACAACCCAGGGAAACUUGGGCUAAUACCGGAUGUGAGCAACUUUUAGUUGUUUGAAAGGUGGCGUAAGCUGUCGCUUGGGGAUGAGCCUGCGUCCUAUUAGUUAGUUGGUGAGGUAACGGCUCACCUAGGCAAUGAUAGGUAGGCGGCCUUAACGGGUGGUCGCCCACACUGGGAUUGAGAUACGGCCCAGACUCCUACGGGAGGCAGCAGUCGAGAAUAGUCUACAAUGGUCGGAAGACUGAUAGUGCGACGCCGCGUGAACGAUGAAUCCCUUCGGGGUGUAAAGUUCUUUUAUAUGUGAGCAGUGCUUCUUAUAUUAACAGUAUGGGGAGAGAGAUAUUAAGCAUAUGAAUAAGCAACGGCUAACUCCGUGCCAGCAGCCGCGGUAAACA